Molecule: non-coding RNA, 176 nt
Organism: Caenorhabditis elegans
Lineage: Eukaryota; Metazoa; Nematoda; Chromadorea; Rhabditida; Rhabditidae
Source: Ensembl
GUGGAGAGAGAGGGAUAACGUAGGGGAAGUCGGAGAACUCCUUGGUUAUCGGAGCUUGUCGGAGUCUCUUUGGGUAUCAGAGCACGUACAGAAUAACAGUAUGGGGGCAACAUAAUAGAGAAGGGGGAUUUGUCGGGGAGAGCUGUGCUACGCACGACCGUUCGGCACGAGCGCAG